GCGCCAGUAGCUCAGCUGGAUAGAGCGACGGCCUCCGGAGCCGUAGGUCGGGGGUUCGAAUCCCUCCUGGCGUA
RNAcentral lists this transfer RNA (74 nucleotides) under Chitinivibrionales bacterium. RNAcentral's name for it is "tRNA-Arg". It matches the Rfam family "tRNA". Rfam says of the family: Transfer RNA (tRNA) molecules are approximately 80 nucleotides in length. Their secondary structure includes four short double-helical elements and three loops (D, anti-codon, and T loops). The record is from RNAcentral. Lineage: Bacteria; Pseudomonadati; Fibrobacterota; Chitinivibrionia; Chitinivibrionales.